CUUAAGCCUUUAGAUAGACACACUGGGAGAAGGAGGAAUUGCCCCACAGCAGCUAGUGUGGGGCAACUUUAACUUCCUUUGCUCCAAUUCAUCACAACAGAUUCAUAAUAGGAGAAAACCUGAAAAUUGUACCUCAUCAUAUUAAUCUCUGUUUGCCAUGCUCCAAAAAAUAAUUUUGAAGAAAUUAGCUUGUAUUUUAGGGUUUUCAGAAAAUCAGUUGGUUUUCAUUUCUGAUUUGAAGAUGAUUAGAUAGAUAAAUUGACUGACUUCCCCACCCUUCCCUAACCUAAGCACUUUCCAAUUUAGGUCUAAAUUAAUUUCUUGCACCUAUGUAUGACAGAAGGAAGCAGAGAUGCUGUAUAUACAUACACAUACACUAUCUUGCCUAGGUCCAAAUGAAAUGAAUGAUAGAAAAAGGUACACAUCCAAACUAACUGUGGGCCUUGCUGAAGUACUUUUUCCCGCAGAGAUAUCUGCAGUGGGGGGCAAGUGGGGCACAUCUCUUACCUUUUCUGUCCAAUUCGCCACCUUUCCAACUGCUUCCUUCAAUUAGUGCCCAGCCAAAUCCUUCAAACUGCAUUGUCCCUUAUCUAGAGGGAGAAAUUACUUUGCAAAGGAAAGGAAAGGAGGAAGAGAUAGAAAACAGAGAAGCUGUGAAGCUAUGCCCUACAGCUUCUAAAUGACACAUUUUCACAGCAAGCUGUCCAGGGCCAGGAGAAGACCCUGCUGAUAUCAAUGAAAAGAGAAACUUCAUUCCUUUUGUCUGCCAAGGACCUUUGGCCUUGGUUUAGGGAAACCACAUCCUGGAUGAUUUUGUGUGGUUUGGAAUUUGACGGGGAAGGAACACGCCUUUAAUGGUUAGAAAACACUCCUCCUCCUACUCAUUACAAAGGAAGACAUGACACUCUGGACUUCCCUGUGUUCCUCCUCAUCUGACAAGCACUUAAUUCACUGUGAACACAACCCCAUGACCUUCAAGGAAGCACAGAGUUAGUUCCCUGUUCAUCAGUUUUUAUCUCUGUCCUGCAGUCCAUGGGGGAGCAAAUCUGAGAACCUCGCAUCUUAGCUGUGUAAUCCAAGGAUUUGAGUGGGAAAAUAUUUCAGCUCUAAAACUAAGGUUUAAUGAUUUGUACUUCUCUUCAGUGCAUGGUGACUGAAAUAAGUUAAGUACAUGACAGAAGUGAAGAAGAUCCUCCCUUCAAACACCCACACACACACACACACACACAAGCACACACGUGUGCACAACAGUGAAGUGGAGCAUCUAGACCUUGUUCUUAUUCCCCUCUGCAUUUUCAUCUUUCUUACAUGCUUUCCUUCCUAACCAUGCAGUACUUUCACAGACACUUAUUUGGAUUUGCUUGAUGAACCAGGCAUUCUAACACCAGCUAGCUGACAGCUCCUACAUGCUGUCAUUAAAAGACUGUUGUCAUGAGAAUCAAGUAAAAAUAUGCUAAGGCAUCAUUGCGUUUUGUACAGAAAUUCCCAUACCUGUCUUUAAUAUUUUGAGGAUAAUUAAUUAAUUAUUACAGGGUAAUUUAAGCAGUAGAAAAAUGAAAGUUCUGAUUUCAGAUGUAUGACCUUAUUAUAGUACCUCCCCUACUCUACAACAUGUGUCUUGAUUUUUGAUUAGGAAAUUGUUUGCCAUGCUCAGAGCUUUUAUUUCUUAUGUAAGGGAUAUUAACACAUUGUUCACAAACUCAAAUUCUCAUAAGCUAAAUGUGUGUAUUUACGGGUAACCGGAAGCAGUCAGGAACAUGACAUGUGCUGAAUGGGAUCCAGGACUUUGCAUUUGACAUUCUUCCACCUGGAGUUCUCACUGCUCUCCAUCUCAAAGACUUUCCUCCAGGCAAAUCAAGAGCUACAGAAACUAAUACUACAUGAGGCGCUCAUUUUGAAAUAUGCUUUUAAGAUGAAGCUCUGCUACUACAAGUUGGGUGAUGCAGAACUGCCACUUAACUCUGCUGGUCCUCAGUUAUUGCAUCUUCAAAAUGAGGUUGUGGUAAUGUGAUUUUUCCAGAACUGUCCAGCUCUACCAAUCUUCUGGUCAUAUAAAUGGUUUGGCUGUUCAGAGCUGUCUAUUCCCAUUACCUUUCUGCAAGAAUUUUACACUUUUACAUAGGCUUGACUAAUCAUAACUGGGAAACUCAGUGAAGGUUGGGUAUGUGCAUUAGCCCAGACACAUACUGAACUUCAGGGUUCUCACUUCAAUUAAAAGGAUGGAGAAAUACAUCUGGCACAUAUAUCAAUACUUUACGUAGCCCCUACAUUGGAUGUUUUUUCUAAUUGUUUUUGCUAAUACUACCAAAAUAACAAAGUCUACUUUUAGAAUUCCUCCCAUUUCCUAACAUCAAUAAUCCUACGAAUCUGCAAAGGGUAACUGAACCUUUAAAAUUAUAGUCACACUGAGACUUAACCUCUUGCUAAAUUAUUUUGUCAAAAUGAAGACCAUCAGGGCAAGCACCAGGACACAGUUGGUGCCUAUGACCAUUUGAAUGCAUGCUCCUGGCAAUGGGGAAAUACUCUUCUUCAGUGAUGAGUGGCUACUGCUUGCACACACAUAAUGCAAACACACCAGAGGUGCUUUAUUCUUGAUCUCAAAAGAAAGACUUUCCCUUUGUUCUAAGUAAAACAGAGAGACACAUGAGUCAGAUUAAAAUUUAAGUAGAGUGGUAGCUAAUGGAAUAUUAUACUGGAAGUAUAUAUUUGGAAAUGAAAGAUCCUGAUGCUUCAAGGUCAGCCCCAAAGAGCAGAGACUCCAGGGCUUAGUGUUCUUUUCUGAGUGCAACAGUGGAUGUUCACUCUACAUUUCUAAUUGCUUAACUCAGGCUCUCCCAGUCCUAUGAGGAGAAGAUUGUCAAGGAGCAGAGAAAUAGCAAAGGCAACCAGGCAUGCAUAAAAACAUCAUUAUGUCCUUGAGCAGAGCUCAAUUUCUCUUAGAUCUGGGUUGUGUGGCUGCGUGCAGAGGGAAACAAAUGCGUGUAUGGGUAUACAGAUGUCUCGAAUGUGUUAUUCUUUUGCACAUUUGUAAGAGCUCUUUACUUAAGAACAACUUUGCUGGCACAUUACAGUCCAAAGGGAAUGUGGCUAACUAUAAAAUCUGUCACAAUAAAUGCUGGGAACUGAAAGAUAUGCUUGGUGAUUUUCUGGAAUGACUUUUCCAAAAAGCUUCCCAAGGAAUUAAACUUCCCAAAACUAAUCUUCUUCCUCCCAUGUUCAUGAGAGGAUAAUUGAUUAGUAAAUAUCCUCCUAACAACAUGACCAAUGUCUCAGGCCAUCUUUAUUAGCUAAAAUCUAUGAGCAGGUGAAAAAUUGUUUGCUAAUUUUUCUGUGUGCAGUGGUGCUACUGUGUGGUAAUAUGCAAGAGGUUCCCCUUUCUCCUUUCCCUUAACUUUUUUUUUUUUUUUUAAUGAGAAGACCAUAAUCUUCUAAGGAAAACUUUUUCUUUUUUUCCAUCCAGUACAUGGACCAUAAAAAUGUAAACCAUACUGUUAAAAGAUAUUACCGACUAAAAAUUACUAGAAUAACCAUUAAUAACUAGAAUAACUACCUUAAUUGUCUGCAAUGGAAAGCUCUGCUGAAUUCUGGACUAUUUUAAUCAAUCAACCAGCUUUUCAAAGUCCAAGACUAUAAAGUGAUUAACCUGCUUCUCACUUUAUUAAGAAAAUUUAAGUAUGAAGGGGAAUGCCAGCUAUUCAUAGGCUCAGUCAACUUGCUAGGGUUUGUAUCAAACAUCAUUAUGAUUUUCUCAGAUGGAAAGAAUAGAAUCUAAUUUGGAAGUCAGUUUAUACUGUGUGAUUUGGGUCAAAUAAACAUAACUUACCCUGUAUUGCCGUCUAUAAGAUAGGGAUAAUAACAUUUAUCUUAGAGUUAUUGUAAGUAGAAAACAACAAGCAUUAAAUAAAAGAUAGUGACCAUCCCUUAGCUUUAACUUCUUCUUUGAGCUGAUACUGCCAUUUAAAGACAUAUCACAUCAUCUCAAAGAAAGACAAGAAAUAGAUCAGAAAGUAUGAGGUUUGGGGGCAUUAGCUCCCAUUCUCCUUGCAUGGCCCUGCAAUAGACUGUUUUCUGCUCCAAACUCUUGAUUUUUCUGUUUGUUUGGCCUCACUGUGCAUCGGACACAUGUAAUAGGAGUUAUACCAGGAUUACUAGCUUGGAAAACAAGAUGAGGCAAAUGAGAUGAAGAGAGGUUAAAGGACUGGCCUCUCGUCAUUCAGCUAAGAAUUGAAGGGCAAGGGUGGAAGCAGAGAUUUCUAACUGUGUUGACAAGCAGCCUUGGGAGAGUCUGUGCUGGAUGUGAUGAAAGCAGAAAACAGAAACCAUUAAAUGAAGUUCAGUAGUAGAAGUCACACUUUAGGAGGCGGAGCAAGAUGGCAGAGUAGUAAGAGGUCACGCUCACCUUCUCCCACAAACACAUCAAAAAAAUACAUCUACAUGUAAAACUACUUGCACAGAACAUCAACUGAAUGCUGGCAUAACUUAAACCUCCAAAAAGGGCAAGAAACUCUUGACAUAACUGGGUAGAACAAAAGGAAAAAAGAGAGAGAGAGAAAAGGAAUCAGGAUGGGACUAGCAUUCCCGAGAGGGAGCAGUGAAGGAGAAAAGGAACCCACACCCUGGGAAGCCACAUAACUGACGGAAAGAUUGGCCAAGUCGGCGGGACCUCAAAUUGCCAAGAAAAGUGCAGCAGCUGGACUGAGAACAGCAAAGCAGAGUGAGAGCCACACAGAUCACCUGAACCACUGGACUGGACAACAUAGCCUGAGAGGCUCAGGCAGGGGCUGGGUGCUGAGAUUCAAGCUCUGGAGGAUCCUGCAACUAGGAGCAACCUGUACAUCAGCUCAUAUGCGAGCUAAGUGAGAUGGGUUGAUUUAUGCAUGGUCUACAGGUGGCGGGGGCAAACCACCGCAGUUAUCACAGACUCUAGAGAUGGUCAUGGCCUGCUCCCACUAGGGGUCCCUGAACAGGCACCACCUAUGUUUCCAAUACCUCAGAGGAGGGCAUUGCUAUCGAACACUAGGUGUUGUUGCUCUCACCCCCGUGGGAAAUCACGGCAUAUGGAGUAGGAAAAAAAAUGUAUUGGGGAAGUAAUAAUUUAAAAUAAUCUAUGAAAGAGAAGAAAUAUAAUGUUAGUGAGUAUAACUCAUGGUCCAGUCAGUAAAACAUAAAUGCUCUGAAAAUUUCAAAUAGAGGUGAACUUAUACUCAAAAAUUGAUUACAAAUAUUUUGGCUGUGUGGAAGAGUAAAGGGGAGAAUGGUGGUACUUUAAAAAGUCCAAAAAUAAUGUAUUUACUGCGAGGUUGCCACAACUGCUGCUGGAGCCAGUGGUCAUUUGUCAUCCCCACUACUGCUUCCUGCUAGUUCCAGAUCCACUGAUGUUGCUGGAGGUCUUAGUCACUCACAGUCACUCGCACUUUCUGGCCUCAGCUCCUGCUGGAACCAAAAGCAGAAAGACUACCCCCUUUGCUGUUCUUGCAAUCUCACUGAAACACUUCCUGUUGGCAAAACUUAAUAGAAACCUGUCAGAAAAGGAGUUUGGGAAAUGCAAUUUCUAGGUAUCCAGAUCCCUCAAUACAGGGAAGAGCACAAAAGGGAAAGGGGAGCGGGCUGAGCAUGCGUAGACAUUAUCCAGAAGAAUAACAUUCCUGUUAGUUACUACUCUAGCAUCAGGAAGCAAACAAUAAUUCUAGUUUUAAAAUAAAGACUGUGUUUAUCUCUCCUCCAAAACUCCAUAGAAAUGCCAUAAAAGAUUCUAUGGAGCUGAAAACGAGACAGGAUUUGUGAUGGUUAAUUUUAUGUGUCAAUUUGAAUGGCCACAGGGUGCCCAGACGUUUAGUUAACCAAGACAAUCUUCUUUACUUGGUCUACAAAGACUUUUUACUUUGUAGACCUAGUGAAGAAGAUUGUCCUCCUUGAUGUGGGUGAACCCACUGAAGGCCUCAAUAGAACAGAAGACUGACUAAGAGAGAAUCCACUUUCUUUGCCUAUCUCCAAGCUGGGACAUUGGUCUUUCUGCCUUUGGAUUUUCAUUGGAACGUAUAUUAUUGGCUUUCCUGGUUCUCAGGGCUUUGGACCCAAACUGGAAUAUAUCACUGGUUCUUAUGGGUCUCCAGAUUGCUGACUACCAAUCUUGGCACUAAGCCUCAAAAAUCUCAUGAGCCAAUUCCUCAUAAUAAAUUAAUAGAUAAGUAUGGAAAUAGAUAUAGAUAUCUUAUUGGUUCUGCUUCUCCGGAGAACCUAGACUAAUAUAAGAUCCAUCGAGAGAUUAGAAAUUUUGCAGGAGCUCCCAUCAUGGCUCAGCAGAAAUGAAUCUGACUAGAAUCAGGAUGCAGGUUCACUCCCUGGCCUUGCUCAGUGGGUUAAGGAUACAGUGUUGCCGUGAGCUGUGUUGUAGGUUGUAGGCCAGGCUCAGAUUCCACAUUGCUGUGGGUGUGGCAUAGGCUGGCAGCUGCAGCUCCAAUUCGACAUCUAGCCUGGAAACCUCCAUAUGCCACUAAAAAGCCCUAAAAAGACCAAAAAAAAAAAAAAAAAAAGAAAAAGAAAAAG
This 6546-nucleotide long non-coding RNA is filed under the name Sus scrofa (pig). RNAcentral's name for it is "lncRNA (ENSSSCG00060013905.1)". Lineage: Eukaryota; Metazoa; Chordata; Mammalia; Artiodactyla; Suidae. The record is from RNAcentral.